GACGAACGCUGGCGGCGUGCCUAAUACAUGCAAGUAGGACGCAGUUGCGAACGGGGGAGUAACGCGUAGGUAACUACCUAUUAGAGGGGGGUAAAUAUUGGAAACGAUAGCUAAUACCGCAUACUAGUAGAUGGACCUGCGUUGUAUUAGCUAGUAGGUAGGGUAAUGGCCUACCUAGGAAAGGAUACAUAGCCGACCCUGGAGGGGGAUCGGCCACACUUGGACUGGUACCCGGCCCCGACUUCUACGGGAGGCAGCAGUAGGGAAUCUUCGGCAAUGGGGGGAAACCUUACCGAGCAACGCCGCGGGAGUGAAGAAGGUUUUCGGAUCGGAAAGCGCUGUUGUUAAGGAAGCGGUACUUAACCAGAAAGGGACGGCUAACUACGUGCCAGCAGCCGCGGUAAUUC
Molecule: ribosomal RNA, 407 nt
Filed under: uncultured bacterium
Lineage: Bacteria
Description: partial 16S ribosomal RNA
Rfam family: Bacterial small subunit ribosomal RNA
Source: RNAcentral